CAAUUGCUGUUAUCGGCUCCGCCCAAUGCAAUUAGGUGUAGUUUGAAAGAUCUUUUAGUCUACUUUUUUUCUAGUAAAUCCAUUGAUUAUGUAGAAGCUGUAUCAUUGGCUAAUGCCUUUUGUAUUCGGAUGACGCGUCAGAGAAAAGAAAACUUGCGCAGUUGGUUGAAUUAGAACAUUGUUUUAUAUUUGCACCAACAAUAAAGCAAUCACUUUACUCGAGCACUUGAGAAGUGAAUCACGUAGAAGUUUUAAUCCAACGUUAAUUUUUAAACAAGCAGUGAAGGUUGUUCGCUUGAACUGCCGCAAAGAUGGUUGUUGAAGUGUUGAUAGAGUACUGUCAGGCAUGAGGUGGACAGAACAGGAUGGAGGCUCUCACUAGUAAGAUCCUCGCAAAUUUUCCUGAAGUUAAUAUAAAAAGCACUGUGAAUCCCAGUAAAGGUGCCUUUGAAGUCACUAUCAAUCACCGCGGGGUUCAUUCAAGGCUCAAAAGUGGCUCAUACCCAGACCACGAAGAGAUUCUGAAGUGUAUAAAAGAUGCUCAGGACGGAAAGCAACUCAAAGCAGUUCAUUAAACCAAUUUGGGCUGCUCUACUCUAUAUCUGCUGCAAUUAUGUUACACUUUAAAUUCUGAUAUUAAAGUCACUUCUCUCUUUCUAAUUAAUUAAUUAAAGGCCUUGGCUAUCAUACUUCCUUUCUAAAUCCUCAUGGUUCAGACAUAUAGAUAUGGACUGGCUCACAUCCCAGUAUCAUGAUAAGUUGCACAACCUGUCUCAUUAUGGUGAAGAUAUUUAUCCAGUAGAUGUUGCUACCCUUACAUUUUCACUGAAGCAAUAUUUCUCUAACCAGUUAGAACAACAAAAACAACAAGGCUGUUCAGCUGACUGAAAGAGUUAACCUUGUUCAUUGGUGAGAUAUUUUAUGAUGCUUGCUUAACAAUGUAUGUUGUAGAUGGUGGCUACAAUUUCUGGUUAAUGCUGAGCAGUCUGAUGUGAUAUUGAUGUUUAUGUUUGGUGGAAAAGGCCAUCCUUAAUUCCAUGUGACCUCAAAUAUAUCAACUGGAGUUGACUAUAUAAGGAGAUACAUUGUGAAUUUUGAAAGCUUCCAUUCAUUUGCUUCUCAUAUAUUACUUCUUGUUGCUCAGCAUAAAAAUCUAUCACUUCAAUUAAUUGAGUGAUCUAACUACUGUCUGAUGAAGUACUAUUUGGCUUAACCAUGUGGAUUUCUUUUCUAUAUUUUCUUUCUUUUCCUUUCCCCACUUCCUUGCCUCCUAUUUCCUAUCCAUGUUAUCCCUUCUAUUUUUUUUCACUUUCCUACUUUCUGUCUCAUCUCCAUUCUCUGAAUUUCUCUUUUUCUCUACAUCCUUUUACUCACUUCAGUCUCUCUUUCUAUCUUUUUUCCCCAUCUAUCUACUUCAUUCAACCAAUUUCUGGAUCUUCUUUUAUUUCUCUCUCUCUCUUAGUUUUUUCUUUUCUUGCUUUCUUUCUAUGGUAUUUUAUAUAUUUUUAUAUUUGUUCCUCCACUUUUUUUCACUCAUCUAUUUUCAUCAAUAUUCCUCCUUCCAUUCUUUAAAUCCCUAUUCCCUCUGUUUUCCCCCUCAUUCCCUAUAUCUUUCACGUUCACUCUUCUCUCAAUUUCCAACCCUCCUCAAAAUCUACAUCUCUGUACUAUGUUAUCUAAUACCUAUUUAUUCCUAUUUCCCUCUCUCAUAGACUCUUCAGCACUAAUAAUUUCCUAAUAUAUCACUCAUAAAUCUUUUGACCAGCCACUAAAGUUGAUAGUCAAGGCUGAAUUCUAAAUUAUCCUGUCUUUCUUUUUUCAGGAUAACAUUUGUUAUCCUGAAAAUACUCUGUAAUGCUUAUUUUAAAAUUUUCAUUUGACUUUCUUACUGGUUAUUUUCUGGCUAUGAAAACACUGGUUUAAACAUAUCGACCAGAGUUGGAUAAAUUCUGAUGAAUAACCAGUAAAAAUCUCGACUGAAAUUUGCUUGAAUAUUAAAUCUUAAAAAUACUA
Long non-coding RNA from Octopus sinensis (East Asian common octopus), 2013 nucleotides. RefSeq lists it as uncharacterized. NCBI's taxonomy places the organism in Eukaryota, Metazoa, Mollusca, Cephalopoda, Octopoda, Octopodidae. The transcript has 4 exons. The record is from RefSeq and is a predicted model, not a curated record.